Sclerotinia nivalis is the source of this 116-nucleotide non-coding RNA. The record is from the annotation of a GenBank genome assembly. NCBI's taxonomy places the organism in Eukaryota, Fungi, Ascomycota, Leotiomycetes, Helotiales, Sclerotiniaceae.
GGUGAGAUGGCCGAGUUGGUCUAAGGCGCCAGGUUAAGGUUUAGCUUAACAUGUGAUUGUAUGCGAACAAUCUCCUGGUCUGGAAACAGGCGUGGGUUCGAAUCCCACUCUCAUCA